GGGUUCACCGUGGCCGCGGCGCACCGCGUGGUGGGAGGCAACCACGCCGAGCGCAAGUGGGCUCGGAC
Molecule: non-coding RNA, 68 nt
Filed under: Karenia brevis
Lineage: Eukaryota; Dinophyceae; Gymnodiniales; Kareniaceae
Source: RNAcentral